UCCGUAGGGUGCAAGCGUUGUCCGGAAUUAUUGGGCGUAAAGAGCUCGUAGGCGGUUUGUCGCGUCGAAUGUGAAAACCCGGGGCUCAACCCCGGGCCUGCAUUCGAUACGGGCAGACUAGAGUUCGGUAGGGGAGUCUGGAAUUCCUGGUGUAGCGGUGAAAUGCGCAGAUAUCAGGAGGAACACCGGUGGCGAAGGCGGGACUCUGGGCCGAUACUGACGCUGAGGAGCGAAAGCGUGGGGAGCGAACAGG
Molecule: ribosomal RNA, 253 nt
Filed under: uncultured bacterium
Lineage: Bacteria
Description: partial 16S ribosomal RNA
Rfam family: Bacterial small subunit ribosomal RNA
Source: RNAcentral